CCAUGCAGUCGAACGGCAGCGCGAGAGAGCUUGCUCUCUUGGCGGCGAGUGGCGGACGGGUGAGUAAUAUAUCGGAACGUGCCCAGUAGCGGGGGAUAACUACUCGAAAGAGUGGCUAAUACCGCAUACGCCCUACGGGGGAAAGGGGGGGAUCGCAAGACCUCUCACUAUUGGAGCUGGCCGAUAUCGGAUUAGCUAGUUGGUGGGGUAAAGGCUCACCAAGGCAACGAUCGGUAGAAGUUGCUGGUUUGAGAGGACGACCAGCCACACUGGGACUGAGACAGAACGGCCCAGACUCCUACGGGAGGCAGGCAGUGGGGAAUUAUUUUGGACAAUGGGGGAAACCCUGAUCCAGCCAUCCCGCGUGUAUGAUGAAGGCCUUCGGGUUGUAAACGUACUUUUGGCAGAGAAGAAAACAAGGUAUCCCCUAAGUACGGGAUACUGCUGACGGUAUCUGCAGAAUAAGCACCGGCUAACUACGUGCCAGCAGCCGCUUGGUAAUACGUAGGGUGCAAGCGUUAAUCGGAAUUACUGGGCGUAAAGCGUGUGUAGGCGGUUCGGAAAGAAAGAUGUGAAAUCCCCAGGGCUCAACCUUGGAACUGCAUUUUUAACUGCCGAGCUAGAGUAUGUCAGAGGGGGGUAGAAUUCCACGUGUAGCAGUGAAAUGCGUAGAUAUGUGGAGGAAUACCGAUGGCGAAGCGCAGCCCCGCUGGGAUAAUACUGACGCUCAGACACGAAAGCGUGGGGAGCAAACAGGGAUUAGAUACCCUGGUAGUCCACGCCCUAAACGAUGUCAACUAGCUGUUGGGGCCGUUAGGCCUUAGUAGCGCAGCUAGACGCGUGAAGUUGACCGCCUGGGGAGUACGGUCGCAAGAUUAAAACUCAAAGGAAU
RNAcentral lists this ribosomal RNA (892 nucleotides) under Alcaligenes faecalis. Its description in RNAcentral is "bacterial SSU rRNA". It matches the Rfam family "Bacterial small subunit ribosomal RNA", at positions 53 to 910 of the family's 1533-position model. The record is from RNAcentral. Lineage: Bacteria; Pseudomonadati; Pseudomonadota; Betaproteobacteria; Burkholderiales; Alcaligenaceae.